GAACGAAAUGGGAGGGGAGUUGAAAAUAAGCAUAGAUCCGGAGAUUUCCAAAUAGGUCAACCUUUUAAACUGCCUGCUGAAUCCAUGAGCAGGCAAGAGACAACCUGGCGAACU
Triticum urartu is the source of this 114-nucleotide non-coding RNA. NCBI's taxonomy places the organism in Eukaryota, Viridiplantae, Streptophyta, Magnoliopsida, Poales, Poaceae. The record is from RefSeq and is a predicted model, not a curated record.